GUCUCUGGCCAUACCACCCUGAACGCGUCCGAUCUCCGCUGAUCUUAGAAGCUAAGCAGAGUCGGGCCUGGUUAGGGUGCGGUAGGCU
Molecule: ribosomal RNA, 88 nt
Organism: Myotis lucifugus (little brown bat)
Lineage: Eukaryota; Metazoa; Chordata; Mammalia; Chiroptera; Vespertilionidae
Source: Ensembl